Long non-coding RNA from Mastomys coucha (southern multimammate mouse), 470 nucleotides. RefSeq lists it as uncharacterized. The record is from RefSeq and is a predicted model, not a curated record. NCBI's taxonomy places the organism in Eukaryota, Metazoa, Chordata, Mammalia, Rodentia, Muridae. The transcript has 2 exons.
UGCAACAGUAGCAGCCAGCAGGAUGGAGGAACUUACCAGCAAGAUUGGAGGAAGACAAGCAGGCAAAAGUCCAAGUUUUCUGGUUCUGUCUCCCUUUUAUCUGGCAGAAGGGACCACCCACGUCUAGGUGUCAGACCUCGAGUCCUCCAAGGAACUGGUGUAGUAGCACUGUAGCUGAAGUUUCCAUCAAGCAUAGCCUUUGGUGUGGAGUCCCUGGGUCCAAGCUUUGACUUACUAGCGAUAUGACUGAAGCUCUGAAGCCAGCUUCUUCAUCUGCAAAGAGGGGGUAAUGGCACCUAUAUUCUCCCUCUGCUUCAGAGAGAGAAAAACAAACAUAGAAGGACAAACAGACAGAUGAACCCAAGUGAACCCACUGCGGCGACAGAGAACUCUGAAAGCAUUAUGUACGAAUACUGUUGUCACAAAACUGACCAAUUAAAAAUGCCCAAGUAAUGUGAACAAUUGAGCUA